Molecule: ribosomal RNA, 396 nt
Filed under: uncultured bacterium
Lineage: Bacteria
Description: partial 16S ribosomal RNA
Rfam family: Bacterial small subunit ribosomal RNA
Source: RNAcentral
AUACGUAGGUGACAAGCGUUAUCCGGAUUUACUGGGCGUAAAGGGCGUGUAGGCGGUCUUGCAAGUCAGAAGUGAAAUCCCAUGGCUUAACCAUGGAACUGCUUUGGAAACUGCCAGGCUAGAGUGCAGGAGAGGUAAGCGGAAUUCCUAGUGUAGCGGUGAAAUGCGUAGAUAUUAGGAGGAACACCAGUGGCGAAGGCGGCUUACUGGACUGUAACUGACGUUGAGGCUCGAAAGCGUGGGGAGCAAACAGGAUUAGAUACCCUGGUAGUCCACGCUGUAAACGAUGAUUACUAGGUGUUGGGGACCAAAGGUCCUCGGUGCCGCCGCAAACGCAUUAAGUAAUCCACCUGGGGAGUACGUUCGCAAGAAUGAAACUCAAAUGAAUUGGCGGGG